GUGGCGAACGGGUGAGUAACACGUGGGCAACCUGCCCCUGGCUCUGGGAUAACUCCAAGAAAUUGGGGCUAAUACCGGAUGUGACUGCUGACCGCAUGGUCUGGUGGUGGAAAGAUUUAUCGGCUGGGGAUGGGCCCGCGGCCUAUCAGCUUGUUGGUGGGGUGAUGGCCUACCAAGGCGACGACGGGUAGCCGGCCUGAGAGGGUGACCGGCCACACUGGGACUGAGACACGGCCCAGACUCCUACGGGAGGCAGCAGUGGGGAAUAUUGCGCAAUGGGCGGAAGCCUGACGCAGCGACGCCGCGUGGGGGAUGACGGCCUUCGGGUUGUAAACCUCUUUCAGCAGGGACGAAGCCGUGAGGUGACGGUACCUGCAGAAGAAGCACCGGCCAACUACGUGCCAGCAGCCGCGGUAAUACGUAGGGUGCAAGCGUUGUCCGGAAUUAUUGGGCGUAAAGAGCUCGUAGGCGGUCUGUCGCGUCGGCUGUGAAAACCCGGAGCUCAACUCCGGGCCUGCAGUCGAUACGGGCAAACUGGAGUGUUGCAGGGGAGACUGGAAUUCCUGGUGUAGCGGUGAAAUGCGCAGAUAUCAGGAGGAACACCGGUGGCGAAGGCGGGUCUCUGGGCAACAACUGACGCU
RNAcentral lists this ribosomal RNA (641 nucleotides) under Blastococcus sp. I12A-02940. RNAcentral's name for it is "bacterial SSU rRNA". It matches the Rfam family "Bacterial small subunit ribosomal RNA", at positions 95 to 747 of the family's 1533-position model. Lineage: Bacteria; Bacillati; Actinomycetota; Actinomycetes; Geodermatophilales; Geodermatophilaceae. The record is from RNAcentral.